CCUACGGGUGGCAGCAGUGAGGAAUAUUGGUCAAUGGGCGCGAGCCUGAACCAGCCAAGUAGCGUGAAGGAUGACUGCCCUCCGGGUUGUAAACUUCUUUUGUCAAGGAAUAAAGUGAGGCACGUGUGCCUUUUUGUAUGUACUUUAUGAAUAAGGAUCGGCUAACUCCGUGCCAGCAGCCGCGGUAAUACGGAGGAUCCGAGCGUUAUCCGGAUUUAUUUGGUUUAAAGGGAGAGUAGAUGGGUUUUUAAGUCCGUUGUGAAAGUUUGAGGCUCAACCGUAAAAUUGCAAUUGAUACUGGCAGUCUUGAGUACAGUAGAGGUAGGCGGAAUUCGGGGUGUAGCGGUGAAAUGCUUAGAUAUCACGAAGAACUCCGAUUGCGAAGGCAGCUUACUAAACUGCCACUGACACUGAUGAUCGAAAGUGUGGGUAUCAAACAGGAUUAGAUACCCCUGUAGUC
RNAcentral lists this ribosomal RNA (460 nucleotides) under uncultured bacterium. Its description in RNAcentral is "partial 16S ribosomal RNA". It matches the Rfam family "Bacterial small subunit ribosomal RNA", at positions 338 to 795 of the family's 1533-position model. The record is from RNAcentral.